UAAAGAAAUAGUUCAGACAAAGAAGAAAGCGAAUGAUUUCGAGGGGAACACAAUCUACUAUAAUUAGUUGUUCCACAGAUGGACGCGUAUACGUAAUAGAAGAUAACAUACGCUUUUUUUAAAUUUGUACAUCAUGAGCGAAGGUUGGAAUUUAUCUUUUCUACGGGUUUUUGUCUUUCUUAAAUUGCACGAUGGACAAAAUGAAAUUGUACAAGUUUUUCGAAACUACACUUAAGUUAAAAAUGAAAAAUGAUGCUGGCAACGUCUAUCUCACGUUUUGAACAAGAUUGUCUGCAAUAAAUGAGAGACGAAUGAUGUUUCAGAAAAUGGGAGAUUUGCUCGAAUAGUGGGUACUCUACCAAUAAAUGCCUGGUCCAUUGGAUUCAAAAUCUAAUCAACAAAUUCCAAUUUUUAAAUAAACGAUAUAAACUAUUAGCUUUCGUGUAUCUUUGUGAUAUUCUUAAUAUUACUCAUACAGACAUUCGAUUCCUUUAUUAUUUUAAAAGAAAGGAGAAAGGUUUAAUUUGAUCGAUGAAAUAAUUCAUCAAAUUUCGAACUUCUGUUCAAUUUGACAACUUAAUGGAAUGUCAAUCUACCUGUAAACUGAAAGAAAUCCAUCAGAAAAAGAUUCUAAGAAUCUGUCAUGAGUUUACAGAUCGAUCAGAAGAUUACAAAAAUAAGAUCAAAAAACCAGAGAAAACCAAAGUUAUAUCACUCCUUCUAAAACCAGUCUACAAUAUACGAUAACAAUAUACGAUAAUCUUCUAAAACCUUAUACCAGUCUACAAUAUACGAUAACGAUAUUAUAAAACUCCUAAAUAUAUAUAAAAUAUCGAUAUAAGAUUGCAAAAUUUCAUAGAAAGACCUCACUAACUAUAAUCUUGAAAAUGAUCAAAAAAGAAAUUCUUUAAAAUUCUUGAAAAAAAAGAAAAAGAUAAUAAAAAAUAAACCAAAAUAAAUUCUACUAAUUGUUGAUACGUCUAUGAAAAAAAAAAAAACAAAA
Long non-coding RNA from Bombus pyrosoma, 1003 nucleotides. RefSeq lists it as uncharacterized. The transcript is spliced from 2 exons. Lineage: Eukaryota; Metazoa; Arthropoda; Insecta; Hymenoptera; Apidae. The record is from RefSeq and is a predicted model, not a curated record.